RNAcentral lists this ribosomal RNA (403 nucleotides) under uncultured bacterium. RNAcentral's name for it is "partial 16S ribosomal RNA". It matches the Rfam family "Bacterial small subunit ribosomal RNA", at positions 30 to 526 of the family's 1533-position model. The record is from RNAcentral.
AUUGAACGCUGGCGGCAGGCCUAACACAUGCAAGUCGAGCGAGCGGCGGACGGGUGAGUAAUGUAUGGGGACUGCCCGAUAGAGGGGGAUAACUACUGGAAACGGUGGCUAAUACCGCAUACUGUCGGAUAACCCAUAUGGGAUUAGCUAGUUGGUAAGGUAAUGGCUUACCUAGGCGACGAUCCCUAGCUGGUCUGAGAGGAUGAUCAGCCACACUGGGACUGAGACACGGCCCAGACUCCUACGGAGGCAGCAGUGGGGAAUUUUGGACAAUGGUCGCAAGUCUGAUCCAGCCAGGCCGCGUGACUGAAGAAGGCCUUCGGGUUGUAAAGGACUUUUGUCAGGGAAGCGGUACCUGAAGAGUAAGCACCGGCUAACUACGUGCCAGCAGCCGCGGUAAUAC